GGAGAGGCAGCAGGUUUCUCUAACUCUAGCGGCAGCACUGCAAGGAUGAAGAUGCUCUGGCAGCCCCUUCUGUCCCUCUCCUGGGGCUCGGGGCAGUUGCUCUGCCCUUGUGCUCCCACAGCUACAACUCUUGUCUCAACGAGCAGGAACUCCAGGCAGCUGCAAGAGGCGAGGCCGGCCCCUCAGCAAGGGAAGGACCAUUCCCUGCCCCAUUUUAACCUUGGCGGGUCCGAUCCCGCCGGAUCCCGGGCACUGCCAGCGCCCGCCGACCUCAGCUGGGCCAGGGCAGGGAGGAGAGGGGAGUGGGGGGCUGCCCCCCGCCGCGUAGGGCCCAUGGCCGCCGCCGCACAGAAGACUCCUGAGGCCGGGGUGCGGCUCCCUCCUCAACCCGCUUGGCCCCGCGAACGCAGGGAACCCCAGGCAGGACCGCCUCCGAGGCCUGUCGGGGCGCUCUCAGAGCGGGAGAGGAAGGUUGCUGCGAGACAGCGCGUUCCCGAAACGGUCUCGACUGCGCCUGCGCGGCAGCCAGCCGGCUGCCCGGGAGGGAGAAGUGCGCGUGCGCGGCGGCUGCCGGUCGGUGAACGGGGGCGCCGCUGCAGAGCGUGCGAUGACCUGGCGGCCAAUAGGACGCGAGCUGCUUCUGCGCGUGCGCGGCGAGCCCAUUGUUGUCCUGUAUUGUGCCUGCUGUCUGUGACUUGCAACGGUGUCCUGUUCACCUCUUGCUGCUCGGAAGGGUGGCCUUUAAGUCGUUUCUGAAACUCCCUCAAGUGUUUGUCAUUUGAAAAAAAACGUGAGUAGUUGAUAACCUUCAGUGUAUUAAUGUACAAAUGCUGUGAAAUGCUAACAGCAUUCUUGCACUUGCCAUUCACUUCUUUAUAUGAGAUAGAAGUUGUUAGUGUAGAAUAUCAGAGUAGAAAUUCUUUACCAUGUAAUUGAUAUGCCUGCUUAUUAAUUACAGACCUGCAAUUUAGUCUGAAAUUAUUGUAUGAGUAUUAGAGAAACAGAAGAGCUAUAUUUCUGUUUUAUAAGACAGUAAACUUUUAACAUUUCUAAGACUAGAAUAUUACAGGUCUCAUCAGUUGUGUGGUGGUUGUUUUUUUUUUUUAGGUUAGUGUACUAGAGAAAAAAAUAAUAUAAGUCCUGAAUAUACACUAGUGUCUUGCUUCUUUCCCUCCUUUAUUGCACACUUUAAAGCAAUGUUUAUAUAACUUUUUGUUUACUCUGCUGAAUUGAAUAUACUCUGAAGCAGUGCUCCUUUUUCAAGUAUACAUGUUAAAACUUCGUUUUUAAUGCAAACACUUGAGACAAAUGGAUCCUGAUAAGAAACACAAUGAAAAGUUAUCAGAUUAAAUAAUUUAAAGAUUCCAGGUUUCAUGUUUUUGUUCACGCUGCUAUAAAGAACUAGAAAAAAUACACAGCAAAUGUGUGAGCUCUCUGAAUGUUCUGUUUUGCCAGAAAUCUUAACUUUCUGCCUUUUUUCCACAUCCGUGUAAGAAAUGUUUCACAACUGAUUUCACUAAAUAAGUGGAAUGAGAGUAGAAGGUCUCUAGUUAGUGCUUUAGAGCUGAGAGUUCAGGAUGGAAAGAGGGUGGAAUAGAAAUAGCUUAGUGUUCUUUAAAACAAAAAGCAACACCCCCCAGCCUCCUGCAAAACUCAGUUGGAAGCAGAAAGAUGCUGUCAUAGCUUCGUGUAGCAUGGCCAGUCCUAAUUAAAUCCAUUUGAUGUGUGUAGGAAAACAAUUCUUUAGUCCCUGAUUAUGCCUUCAGUGGGGCACGACCAGCUUAACCCAGCAGCUCUGCAUAGUGUUUCCUGUGAGAGCAGCCAUGAUCAUUCUCUUUGCUGAAGCUCGCUCUGAACAUGCCUGUGCAGUUUAUUGUGAGAAAAUUGGGGCAGCUAUUCCAUGCUAUUUCAUCACUUGGCUUUCUGCACUGCUAUUUUGUGAUACUGUAGCAGUUGGCUCACAAGUACCCUGAGGCAUUCAGUACAGAGUGGAGUGGGCCAUAUGCUGUCUGCUCUGCUUUUAGAGAAAAGUAUGAUGUAGGAAAAUGGAUUGAACUGUUUCUAUGAGGACAGUUGCUUUGUAACUGCAAUGCAAAAAAGAAAUGUACUGAAGAGGUUAUUGAAUUUGUAUCUGCUGCGAGUAAAAUAGUGGUUUUUAUACAUUAAAUUGGUGUAUCUUUUCAUUAGGUGGAUAGUUGUUUGGUUUUGUGAAGCAUUUGUUUCUUAGAGGUAACUAUGAUUUGUAUGCUUACAAAGAAGUGUAAUUGUUAAUUGUUGUGAAAGCUAAUCAAUGGGAGUACAAGAGGUUUUUGUAAGCUUUUUGUUUCUGAGUAUAAAAUGUAUUUAUCAUCUGAGAAUAGUAAAAUGCAGUUUCUAUAUUUUUUUUUUCAGGUUUGUAAGUGUUGUGAAACUACUCAUAUUUUAGCCAUCAAAUGUAACAUAUCCAUGUUUCAUAGCAGUAUUUUCAACAGUUCGUGCAAGGAUAGUGCUGUGCUGUCUUUUUCACUUCCAGAAAUGACAAAAAAAAAAAGUCCUGUGUCUUCAAGAAAGACAACAUAAAACCUGUAGUCCUAAACUAUUUUAAUCUGAGGGAAAGCCAAAGACCACAGUGUAACUUAGAACCACUUAGAGGAAUCUUGUGGAAUCAUAUGGUGCUCUUUUUAAGAGAGGGCCAUAAAUUAUUAGAGUUCUUAUAACACUUCAUCUUUGAAGAAUAGUUGAACUUGGCUAUUGUACACUUAAGUAUCAAGUAUUCCUCUUGAAACCUAAUAGUUAAAAUAAUAACUUAUCUCAGUUGUUUAGUGUCCUCUUUGUUUUGCUAGAAAACAUAUGCUCAUCAUUAAGGUAGUUCUAAGCAAAGUGUGAUGUAGUGAAUGCAAUCACUUCAUUGCCUAAUAACUUACAAAGCCAACAUCAGAGGAAAAAGUUUUAGAACCUAUAGCACAAUUUAAGAAAAUGAUCUUCAUAGACCUAGAGUAAGAGGGCUGGUAUAUUUAGUCUGGUAUGUAUCUUUUAACAAACCAGUUUUCUGGUUUGUGUGUCUUCUGAUUAUUUUGCAUAGGAUACUUCCAGAGGUUGUCGCAUCAAGUUAGAGAGAGUACAGCAGGCAAACAGGUAGUUAGCAGUCAUUCAGCCAGGUAGUGCAAACAAGGGAAAGAGAAGAGAGUAACCAGAACUCUUCACCUCCACAGUUUAAACAGGAUGUCACAGCAGUGACUGAUUUCAGAGAAUUCUGAGCUAUUACCUUGUGCGUUAUAAUAAUCUAUAAUCAAUGUUAUUAUAGUCUUUACUAGUGAUGUCUGUUCUAUAAAGAGCAAGCAUAUAGUCCAUCUCAACAAUGCUACUUUUAAAUAGCCGGAAAGAAUAAAGAAUCUUGAGGGGGGAAAAAAAAAACAAAAACAAAACCAAACAGUGCUUUGUUAAUGUUGCCUUUUAAUAUAGUAUAAUAAAAUGUCACUAUUGAAAGGCAAAAAUAUUUCAUCCUUGUAGUUUCUCAGGUAAUUAAGAUGCUGUGAUUCAUGGAUGUAGUUUUGGAAUGCCUUAUGUGUCAGUAUGAAUGGCAACAUUUACAUAAACAGUACAAAUAACCAGUGAUACUGUUUUCUACUAGUUAUGCAGGUUUAACACACCUGGAGAAAAAGAUGGUCUUAUAGUUUAAAAUUGACUUUAAUUCACUAAAACCAUUAAUAACAUUGCUAUUUUCUCAACAGAGUGUAUUUAUUACUCUUAGCAGAACUAUCCUCUAAGGAACCGAAGUUUUAAAAAAUUAUAUUUUGUAAGAAAAUACUUUUGAACCCUUUUAAAAUAACUUUUUCUGUGAUUCAAAUACUGUGUCAUUUAUUACAGUUCUCAAAUCCCUCUGUAAGAAACUUUUCCAGGCUUCUAAUAAUUAUUUUAACAGCUUUUUCUGUAUUGUUUCUUGUUUUCCUCUGUCAUGUAAGUUGUGUUCAUGUUGGCUAAGUCAGUGCUAUAUAGAUAUGCAAUUUUUCUGUACUCUUUCCUUUGUUAGUGUUUCUACAAUGAAAUAUUAUACCUGCUUUUUUGCUUUACAUUUACAUGGAAUUUUAUCUGCAGUUUGAUUUUUUUUUUUUUUUUUACUGUGGCUGCUUUUUCAGGAUACUUCUCCUAAGUGUGAUGCAUAAUCUUUACAUAGUGCAGCUUUGUUACUAGAAAGUGUCUUGUAUGAGUGUAUGUGGCUUGAAGAAUAUGCAUUGCCUUAGUUCUGUCAGAAUUUACUGUUCUUUCACCAAUUUUGUGCUGUCAUCUGUACAGUCGUCUUCGAGAUUUUAUACUCUAUAUGAUUAAGAAAAAGUAAAAGGUGCUGGUCUGUGCCGUAAGCCGUUCCAUCUGUAGGUCACAAGGGGCUCUGUAGGUUCAAGUCAAGUUCUCAUUAUCACUCAACUCUGUUUAAACACAGUUUUCUGGUAGUAGCACUAAAUGUACCUUGAAAUCUUGGCACAUUCCCAAAGCUUGUGCUUUUCUUCACUGCCACUUGAGUGUAGUGUCAGAUACAAUAGCAGUAUUAGAGUAUCUCUUUCACAGCUGGAGCCAAUGCCAAAUUUUUUUCCAACUAGAUGUUUCAAAAUAGACCAUCUCUUUAGUCAAGGAUGUGCAAGUAAUGCAGAUUUUAAAAUUAGCUAAUAAUCUUACUUGCUUAAGCCAUUUAUUUUUUUGUGUGUGUCCUUGAGAUUUCAUUGGAUGGUGGUAUUUGGUUUGCUUAAUUAUUGCUAUGUAUUCCUGCACACUCUGAGUUGUCAUUAGUGCGUGACAGCCAGAAUGAUUGUCAGUACUAGAAGAAUGUUCUGAAAAUCCUGACCAUGAUGUACACUAAAACAACCAUUGUAAUGUUGGUCCUCGUAAUUUGUUUAUUAAUAAGUUUGUACAUCUACUUGAUAAUGGGUCAUUUAACAUGGAUCAUGGAACAAUAAAUACUUUAAGCAAAUACUUUGAGUUUGUUGUUCUUUGCUGUAUCAUAUUGCCUCAAAGACUUUCUUCCCUCUUGUCCUAGACUAAGUGCUUUCAUGCAGCAGUUUUGAGGUGCCUCAUUUUUUAAACUUGAAAAUAUGCUUUCCAUAUACUGUUUCUGAUGCUUUUCCUAUUGGAUUAUUCCUGUUGGUUUUCAGUACAAACUGAUAAUUCAUACCUGUUCAUUUUUGCAUAUUUCUUUUAGUGUAACUUUUAUUUUUUGAUCUCCUGCGUGGUUAUUAAACAUCAGAUGGGCACUUGGAUUUUUUUAAUUGAAUCAUUCUUUGAAGUUAUGGCGUCUUUAUUCUUUUCAAUCAAAGAAGAGUCUUUGAAAUGUAAAUGAAAAUUGAAAGUACAAAGUGCUGGUAUAGAUUUGUAGUAGCUCUUGUUUUGUUUUUCAAUGUAAGUAGUGUGGAUUUGCAUCAGUAUAGCUGAUGAUAGCAGAGUCCCGUUAGAAAACUUGCAUCCAGUGAUUUGGCUUGGAUUUUUUCAAAUAAAUAUUUGUGCAUUAUUUAGGGAUGUUUGUGUGCAGUUUGAUUACAUUGUUAGAUUGAAGGAAGAUCAAGUACUCAUAGCUGAGCGAUGCCGUAAACCAAAUAUCUUGAAAAAGUAACUUUGGCAUGUGGAAAAAAAUUAAAACAGUCCUCUGAACAACAGCUGUGCUCUCUUUUUAGUGGUACAGUGUGAUACUACCCAAUAUUCCUGAUUAAAUUAAUGUUAAAUACUGGUUUGAAUGUGAUAGGUUCUUCAAAGCAUUUAACUGGUUAUUAAUCUCUCUUCCUGUUUUGUGAACCAAGAAGCCUCCACUUCAGUCUGAUUUUUUUUUUUCUUUAAUGAAUAUUAUAGUAAAUUAGAAACAAUGCCAAUUAAGAAGAAAAAAAAAAAGUAGUUUUUGUUUUCAUUGUAUAAAGUGCUAGUCUCGAUUUGGAAACACCCUAACCCACCCUUCCACCCUCCUCCCCCCUUUGCAAUCUGCUCUGAAACACAGAUUAGAGCUGUAACCACCGGAGGGAGCAAAUUGCAUGAUUUGGACUCUUCACUAAAAAUGUCUCCAGUUGUCAAGAACCGUAGGCUAGGAAAUAACCCAUGGCUAAUUCACUCUCCUGUUUUUUGCAUCAGAAAAGAAUCCAUUUGGAAAUUAACAAUUAAUGUUAAAUCUCAAGUGUAAGAAAUAUUGGGCAUUUUAGUUUAUCAAUAUUUAUGUUGACUAAUGCAAAUGUGACAGCAGUUGAUCAAAGAGUGAACAUGUAGAAAAAAAGAUAUGUGAUUUACAUUUUAUUUAAAAUGCUGAAAGCUUUUCCUUGAUCUGUUUAUCAUAUUUUACUGAAGACAUUGAGUAUGUUGGUAGAUGACAAAUAAACUUGUAAAUCAGAACCUGCAGGAAGGCAGUACAAUAAACAUUUACAUAUUUCCUGCUAUUGUGCAGCAAAACUUAACCAGUCAGCUAGAAGACCAUUAAUUUUUACAUGCUUACAUUAAAUAGUCCCAUUGAAGUCGGUGGCAAUUCCCAUGGUUUAAGGUAGGUGUUCCUGACUUUAAUUUCCUCACAUUCACUCAGCAGCAGCAAUACUAGGUCCAGGUGGUGUAUGAGGCCCUAUUGCUGGGGAGUGGUGUCUCCAAACCUCCAUAAAGACUUCUACUCCCUUAAGUAAGAAACCUGUGCUGCUGGCUUUGCAUCCAUGCCUCCUCAGCCUCCACUUUGUACCUACCUGAGCAGUGUCAGUGCAGUGGCUGGAAAACAGAGGGUGGACACAAGGUCUGUGGCCGUGUACAGGAGGAGGCUGUUAGGAAGCAUGAUGAACGUGACGCUCUUAGUCACUUAGAUUUAGAUAGUGCUGUGAGGAGCAGGGAGUUGGACUCGAUGAUCCUUAUGGGUCCCUUCCAACUAGAGACAAUCUGUGAUUCUAUGAACAGAAGUGGCCCAUGUGGAGAUACUUUGGUUUAAGUUUGUAUCUUUAUUCAAGCAGGAUUAUGAGCUGCUCAGGCAUGCCACUUUGAAGUGGUUUAUAUGUCACACAUAUAACUGUUGCAGACAGACUAAAAAUGUUUUAUUUCUGUACCCUUUUUCCAGUAGUCAUGAGUGUGUGCAUAUAGAGGCCAGUAGCACUUGUUUGGAGAGAAUACAAAACCAAAUACUGCUAUAAGGAUGCAUUGAUGUAGUAUACAUUAUAAUUAUUUUUAAAAAAGCUAAUAAUUUGGCAUUUCUAAGUGUACUUUUGUGUUUCAAGGAUUCUUGAGAUAUAACAUUGACCAGAAGGAACUGUGAAAAACUUCAGGUGGGGCUGGGGGAUGGAUGUAUUUACGUAGACUGCAGAUAUGUUCAGUGUCAAAGCACAAAACAAAACACUGUUUUAAAUUAAAAAUGAGAAAACAGCUGUAUCUCAUUUUUUUUCAAUUCACCUAGCAUCUAUUCUGAGAAUAUAAUAGGUUCGAGGAUGGGUAUAUUUCUGCUUCUUCAGUCUUGCUUCUGUAUGAAAUUAUUUGCAAAGUGUAGUCUCAACAUCUGUGGUUGUUCAACACUAGCUUGUAUAAAAUGUAUUGAAGUAAAUCUUGAAUUUCAAAACUGUUUGAGAUAUUUGAUUUAUAUUGACCUUGCUGAUUAAUAGGCUGUGCUUGUUAGACAUUUGAAAGUUGUAAAUCAUCAGAUUUGAAUUAUAAAUUCACAUUUAUGGAAUCUAAACUGCAAAGGUGUUUCAGUGAUAUCAAUCCUGCUUUCUUUUAAGUGAACGGCUCUUUUAGAUACAUGAAAAUCACAUCUUAAUUUACCCACUUUAAAUGGUAUCUCUUUUUUUAGAUUAUAGCAUGUUAUAAUAAAAGAAGGGCAAGAUAAAUUUUUGGCUAGUGCUUGAAAUGAACUGAGCAUCCCUGCAGUUGUCUGUUUCUCCCCCAGAUGGAGUAUUUUGUAAGUAGUAGUACUGCAAUAGAGAAUAUUUGAUGUCAUGUUGGACAGGGUGGUUUUUAAGUUAUUGAACAGAGGAACACUCCCUGUUUUCUAAAAGAAAGUUUAAGUUUUACAUAGUUAGACUUCAUAAGUCAAAACUUGGCUGAGGUAAUUGUCCUAAUACUUUCUGAUAUUGCAUUAAAUUUUGUGUGAAUGUGAUGAGGAGGAGUUGCUCCCUAUAGUUAUUUAUUAAACAAGGUCUUUCAAACAGAUGUCUCAGCUGGAGGAAUAGAGAAUAUCUUCUACUGUAUUGAGUUCUAUGCCAUCAUACUUAGGCUUUUCUCUUUUGUCAGUUUAAAACUGAUGCAUUUGUACUACUGUCUAGCCCCUACCGUGACUGCCUUUAAACAUCACUUCUAGAUCUUUUAUUAACAAAUGUUUGACAGAUGUGCUCAGUUGUCUUACAGCUGUCUUAAAUUGAAGUCAUUUCUCAAUGUGAAUGGUCUAACAAAACCUGACCCAAUAUAUACUAAACCUUAAGAAAUUAAAGUUACAAUUAAAAAGAAAGGUUUUACUUGGAUUAUGUAAUGUACUUUAGGUUAGUUUGAGUUCUGUAGAAUAUUCUCAUCAGUUACUUCACAGGAUUUUUAUUCCAGGUUAAAGCAGAUUGAUGCAAAAAUAGGAAAGAAUAUCCAUGAAUAUGUUCACAGAAAUUACUUGUGAGUUUUAAAUCUUGUCAGACCACAGUUUAAGAGCAAUUUGAUGAAAGGGUUUAAUGACAUAUUUGCUUAUGAUAAUAAAGUGUUAGACUUAAUGACCUGGGGAUCUCCUCCAGCGCAUUGUUUUUAUGGAAGCUUCCAUUUAUGAUAAGUAGUUUCAAGAUUUUUAUAACAAAUUUCAGUCAAAGUCAUUUCCCUUGCCCCACAGAGUUCUGUAGUAGUCUGUGGUUUAGGCUCUGCUUUUCCCCCUAGUGAUUCUUACAAAAAUGUAUAAGGAUUGUGGAGAUUGCUGCUUUUUUUUUUCCCCUUAAAGUUUUUAAGAAAAUUUAAAGUGAAAUAACAUGCUUUGUAGUAGAAGUGCUCAAGUCCAUGACUGUAUCAUUUCUGUAGUAAGUUUUGUUAUAGCUAUAGUAAGAGAGAGAGCUUAAAAGAAGCAGAUAAAGUCUGGCUUGUUUUCUGAACAGCACUCUUUAUCCUGAAAAGAGACGCCAAGAGAUAUGUCUUUUUACUACCAAAAAACCUCCUCUCUGAACUCUGAUCUCACAGGCUGUCAAUAGUGACCUCUACCUGUUGUUGCUAAGUAGUUAUGAAUUACAUGUUUUCUGGAGGCUUUCAGGAGUUGAGUUUUUCCUGAUGACCAUUAACUUGAAAUUCAAGAAAGCAUCCUCCUUCAGGAAAAUAUGUAAGCACAUGUUUAUCAGCCAUUCAGAUGUUAAAAUGCAGGUGAGGUGCUACACCUGUGAUAUAGUGGAGUAUAAAUCUUGUUUGAAAGCCAUGUAGUUGCUAUAGUCAAUUAAAAUUAAGCCUCAUUUUAUUUGAGGGGGGAGAAGGUGACCUUUCAAAUAUACUUUAAAAAUAUAUAUACAUGCACGAUUUUAUUGAAUGGCUUUUUCUCUUAUGUCAGAAAAUUUUGGCUUAAAUGUACCUUUCUUUCUAGAUGGAAAAGAGAAGCUACAUCCUUUGAUGUCAGGGAAACUCAUGCAUGCUUUGUCAUGGGCAGCUGGUGAAGGAAGUGCUUUCCUAUCAUACCGGUUUCUCAGCUGAUAAAUUCUGCUUGGUGCAGGUGGUAAUGGACUGUAUAUUUUUAAGGCUGGCCCAGAUUCUGAUGUGUUAGGAUUUCAUGUUCAGAACUGUGGGAAAUGUUUGUAUGAUAGCUUAGGGUUUUUAGUGCAUCCUAGUUAAAUAUCCUCAAAGUGAAGCACAGUGGAAAAGCUUUAAAACGUGGUUGAAAACUAACAUUUUUAUUAGAUACUGCAUCUAGCAUGAUGAUUUUUGUAGACUGGAAGACUUAUCACACAUUCUUUAUGGAUGGGACUGUAUAUCCUAUGAAACAUUGUAAGCCCUCAAACUGAGCUGCCACAAUUUAUAAUGAAAGAUGAAGAUCUGAGGCAGACAGUCAGCAAAGACAAUGGCACUCACCAGAGUAUGGACACUAUUCCAUUUAAAUGUUUCUUGUUUUGAAAAAAUUCUGGGUUCUCUAAAUUGUUCAGCUUUUCAGCUACAAGUACAAAUUUCCCAAGAAACUUGACAUUCUAUGAAAUACUUUUGCUGUUGAAAUUCUGGGUUAACUUUCUUCGACAAGCCAACUGAUAGGAACUUUUGUCUUUUCCUUCAUUAAAAAGUCUUAUAGCUUCUCUUUCACUUACUCAUUUUAGGAAUUAGGUAUCAGUAUGGAAUAUCUAUCAUACCCUGAGAAGAGUUGUCCUAAUAAUUAGUUAUUCACAAUGUUUUACUUCUGCCAUGUACAUUCAGUGUAAAAUUAUCAAGAUUCAACUUCUUGCAAUUGUUUUUUGGUAUGCCCAUAUCUGCUAUUUAUGACCCCAUAUUAGGUAUGUUCUUGUGAUACAGACACUGGUAGACUGUUGAUAACACUCUCUGUAUUCAUAAUGUUAAAUUCACUUUCUUGAGUCUGUCUCUAGAAUAUAAGCUUUCUUGUAAUUUUUUUUCUGCAACUUUUUCUGAAGCUGUCCUGUUCAUCAAAUUAAUAAUUUAGGGAUUAUUUUUGUGAUAAAUAUUUUAAUAGAACUCUGUCUUUAUGCCAAGAUUAGCAAUGAAAUUAUUGGUUCUUAAAUUCUUCCAUGCAGAAGGUGGGUGUAUUCUGGGAGUUAUUAACUUUUGAUGACCAUUUUUAUGGAGAUUUUCUGUAGAGGUCUGUAGUGUUUGUGUUUUUCUUUGUUGUUGCCCUUAGGACCAGAAAAGAAUUGUGUGAAUUCCCAAGUCAUACAGUGAAUUUAAAUGGGAAUAAAGCCUGUGAUAAUGAUUGAUAUAAACAACUGACACAAAUACUGGUAAUCAGGUAUAAACAACUGACAUAAUUUAUAUUGAUAACAUGAGGUAUCUGCUAUCUCAAUUCUCAAACCUUUUGUAGCAUGAUAACCUUUUGAAAAAUAAUUUCCGGAGUAACUACUUCCAGUUAUUACAAUUAUAGGCAUUAUAAAAUUAUUUUAGACCUUUCUUAUAAGCAUAUGUAUCCACAUGUGCUACAUUAUCAGGGAUAGCUGUGUACAGUGCUGUUCAUUGAAUGCUUAACUGAAAAACUGUUAUAUUUUUAAAAUUCUAGCAAUUCCAAAUAAAUAUAUAUUUGCAGAUGCCAGAAGUAGUAACUAGGUGAGUCACCUACCCAUCUGUUGAAUAUCUUAUGAGUAAACUACCAGGUAAGAGAGUGAGCUGAAAUAUAUCAGUAGGUGGCAGAAAGGCACUAGCAUUGAAAUUAAGAAAACUGUUGCUUUACCUGUGUAACCAGAACCUGACAUCUAUGCCUUUAUAAUAAAGUUUUGAUCUUUCUCUUCUUUGAGCUCCAGACCCUUUGUUGAGACUUCUGUCUUGAUGUUUUCUGUCUUGACAACAACCUUUUCCUACAUUGCCAUUUACUGUUCUCCAGUUAGUUCAAAAUCUGCCAUCAGAAGGAACUUUUCAGAUGCUUUGAUGCAAGUAGACAGGUUCUCUUUCUGUGAUGCUCAGGGAAGACUGGGAGCUGGUGAAAUGAGCAAGUGCUCACAACACUGUGAUAACCCUUCAUCUGAUACAGGAGUUCCUUGAGGAUACUGCAGCUAUAAUAUGGAAUAGUUAUUUUGCUGUUCUGUGGGAGAUUUUUGCUAGAGGUCAUUUUUGUGUAAGUUUGAAAAGGUGAACUCUGAGCUUAGGAUGCUUGAAUCUUUGAUCUGCACAUCAGCAUCUUGUAUUCAGCAGUGGUUAAUGGUUCAAAGUGCAAUGCUGUAUGAAAAGGACAUACCUGACUUCCAUGGGCUUUGGAAAUUUUAUGACUGCGUCAAUGCUCUGCUGUAUGUUGAGCUAAGAAAACCAAGCUAGCAUAUGAGGAACCAGUUCUGGUUGUACCUGCAGCACUGUUGGUAGUUACUGGUUGAGUCUGCCAACAAAUAGUUUUAUCUUUGUGUUCUCCCUUACAUCAUCUUUGCAUUUUGAUAGGAUGUGUCCUAAGUGUUGCAAUGGGCACUCAUACUAAAAAGAACUGUCUUGGAUCAUUUACAAUUCUGUUCUCAGGUCCUCAGGAGCAAUUGAAAGUAAUAUGAAAUUAAAUAUAAAAUAUUCUUAUGGUAUUCACAAAACUCUGUAGGAGGUUUGGGUGUUACAAAAACAAGGUGAUAAGAUUUUUAUAUUUUCAGAGUGAUGAUAUUCUACAGUGUCCAGUAUUAUAACAAUUGCAGUGGGUAUUAUUGUGUAUGAGUACUCUGUAUGUCUCGAAGCUGAUGUGAAGGCAUCUCCCCACUUUGCUACUGCAAUUCCAAAAUAGCCUUUUCCCCAAACCUUUUAGGGAAGCAUUUCUUUUGUCCAAUUUGUGACUACAAUGGAAGGUGGGGGCGUAUUUCCCUCUUGAUGAGGAGAACAUGACACCCUGAAGGAGGAACUGAAAUGAGGUUUGUCUGAGCAACACAAAGACUUCAGAGAAGAAUAAAACGUUCAGUCACAAUGUUUUGAUUAUUCUAUUCAAGUUCCAGAUUCUGCAUUCAGCUAUAGCUGGUGCCUAUCAUGAGAACAUACACAGUAGGAAGUUUGGGAGAAAAGAAUGAAUUAAGGGCUAUUUAGAUUAUACCUGUGCUUGUAAUAACAUUUUUAACUGGCUAUUUAACGAAGUCCUUUUAUUUAAAUUAUCUUUGUCAACUUGAAUAGGAUAAUGGAAAGUGAACUGCAAAAUACUGGAGGUCUUAACAGCAUAAAAUAGAAUCAUUCAGAUUGGAAAAGGCCCUUAACAUCAUGGAGUCCGACUAUAAACCUAACACUGACAAUUCAAUUUCAUUUUACAAGUUCCUUAGAUUUUACUGUUUAAGUGCAUCAUUCCAAGAUUUCUCUUCCACUUCUCAGAUACUGAAGGACUAGUAAAAGACUGUUUCCCAAGAGUAUUUGUCACAGUAUGUGUCCUUCUGGGAGAAGUCCACGGCUGUUCUUCAGGUGUUGGUGUCCUUUUCCAGAACUUACUUUAAUACCUUAUGGAUCAAGCACACUGGAUGAAGAUGAUGCUGAUAUUUAAAGGACACCAGAAGUAAAAAAUGCAUAAUAAAUGUAAAUGAGGUGGGAGAUUACUGAAACAAUCUGUUUUAAGUUCAUUCUAAUUCUUGCAGAAUUAUUACUUACUUUAUAGUGAGGAAAAAAGUAAAAUAUUUAAUUGCUAGCUAAAUACAGACUAUGACUUGCUAUGAUAGUCAAACCUGAAAUAACCAUAUAAUAAUACAUCUCCAGGAGAGUUUUCAAGACAGAUGAUGCAAACUCUGGCAACUCUUUCCAGUGGAAGGUGGGGGGGGAGGCACAGAGGAAGAAAAGGAUUCUCUUAAAAACACACAAAUUUUUUUGUAUGUAGGUGAGAAACAGUAUUACAGAGAGGAAAAAAAAAAUCUGGUAACCAGUUUAUUCCUUAUACUUUUGCAUAUAGUAUUACAUCAAUUUGGCUGUGGGCAAUAAGAACAAUGUGUAGUAGUAGUAAUUUACACUCUUGUGUAAAUAUUUUCUGUAUUUUUGGGGAAAAAAGCAUAGGUGCUUUUGGGAAUGUCUAUUUUAGAAGGAAGUCUUUAAAUAAACAUUUGCACAUUUUUACUUCUGUGUCUAAGAAAAGCAUAUGGCAUAUGAAGUGCUUAGCAGAAUCAAAUAUACUUGUAUUUGUACCACAACAAUUUAUUGAAAAGUAACUGUUCUACUGUAUCAAGUCUAGGAAAGCCCUCUGCUUUCUGCAUUUAGUUUGAUCCACUAAGUGGAAGGUACAAGAAAUCCUGUCAUAGAUACUUAUUGACUCAUUUGCAUUAAGAGAUGUUUCUUCCUUACCCCCAUUAGUAUUUGGCAUAAAUCCUGAAUGAUUUAAUUAGCUACGUAAAUGUCUAAUCUCUUGAAAAUCCUGCUAAGCUUUUGCCCUCACUGAAAGCUGUGAUAAUUUGUUCUAGUUAAUUUCAAAUUUAAAUGCAGUGCCUUUCAGUUCCACUAAAUGUUCCUUGUUUUGUUUUUUAAUAAUGGAGCGAUUAAUAACACCAAUUUUACCCUGUCUGUCCUAUUAUUUUGCACCCCUCUGCUGUUUGCUCUUACUAGAUUCUUCUUCAAGUAAUACCAUUUUUUUCAGUGUCUGUGCAGUCACUGUGAUUGUAUGUAAGGUAAAAUUAAAUGCUUAUGGAAGCUGAUGCCAUUAAUCCAUAUUUUUCAACAUACACUGGUAUUUGAAGACAGAUGUAAUUUGGGCUGUAAUUAUUCUUCUGACAUAUGAGAGACUUUGAUCUAUUCAGAGUUGUCCUGCACAUUUUUCAAAGGAAAGAGAACAAUCUAUAGAAGGUUGCAGAAGAAAGUGUUGCUUUAAAUCUGUUUUAUAGUCAUACUGUAAGUAUGUAAGAAAGUGUUUUUACUUUAUUUUCCACUGCAAGUGUACAUAAUUGCUGAUAUUUUCUGUUGAUAUAGGGGGGAAAGAUAGCAUUUGUACUAACUCUGGAAAAAUUAUUUUGGGAUCUGUUAAUGGGGCUGUAUUGUAAGGGGAUGUGUUAACAAGCACUUUGCAUUUUUAUCCCCUUCAGAAUGUUGACUGCUUUAUCAAUGGGGAUAGAUUGUAAGAAUGUGGAGUGAAAUCAGCAGGGAGAUAGUUUCCUGUUAAAAAUAAACCAAUGUGUGUACUAACAUGAGUAUAAACAGGAAUAUAUGAACAGGGAAUGGCUUGUGGAAACAAACAAAACAGGCAGCAUUUUCAAAGAGACGGUGAUGAUGGAAGUGCCUCCAAGCUACUUUUGUGUUCUCACAAUCCAGUUGAUCAAGGAAGUGGAAAAAAUUCUUGAUGUAUCUUGGCCUUUGUGGUCUCUGCUGGGUGCGGUGCUGCAUGCUUCCUACCUUUUUACCAACCAGGUCUCCUAAGCCUUAGGAGACUUUACAUGAGAUUCUCACAAUGGACUUACAACUGUCUCCGUGUUGAGGGAGGAUCCCUUCUUUACAGCAUGUAAUCUGAAUCCAGGUAUAGAAGCUGCAUAGGGCUUUUCUACUAGUGGAGAAUGUGUUUCCCAGUAGAAUCUUAUCCUGUUUUCACAUCUGUCAUUCAACAGUCUUUUGGAUGCAUGGAAACACACCUACUUCUUCAUCUGUCAAUAAAGAUAGUCUUCUUGGUAUUCAUAAUCUUUGCUACAAGGUUAUGGAAUAUCCAAGUCCUUGGUGCUACUGCACCACAAUGAACAAGCGCUAAGAUAAGAUAUGAGCACUGACAGAGGAUGCAGGGCCAGCAGCACAGAACCACUCCAAAAUACAGGUACUUUCCCUGGAAACUCAGCCUCUGUGACAUUCCUGAAGAAUUUCUCAAUCUCUGGAGAUACGCAGCGAUGCCAUCUGUAGUGUCACUUACCUUCCUGCAAAAUCUAUGCAUCUGAACAUACUGCAACACUUAGCAAACCAUUAGUGUUGUCACUGUUUUAAAAACAAAACAACUAGAAAGCUGUUCUCUAAGUAACAGUUGAUAGGUGGCUGGAAUGCAAAUGUGCGUGUGUUUGACCUCUGUAGAAAAGGCUAAAGCAGAACACUGUUUGGUAAAAUCUUUCACAAUGUUGUGCUGACAAAAGGCAGAAUCACAAUCUGCCCUUCUUGUCUACUGUGGAGUCCCAUUAAUAAAUCUGGAGGUCAAAUUGUAAGGAGGCUAAAUCUUAAAAGUACCCAGUCAGAUGAGCUUGAGUAUUGGAACCUCCAUAACACAACUGUGUCAAUACGCAUACAAUAAUUUUCAGUUCUGUUCAAUUGUCUGUUUCAAUUUUCUGAAAAUUUCUAGGGAAUGCUUCACAUAUCUAUAUUUGUUUUCUUAAAUAAGGCAAAGAUACCUAGAUACUGAGGAUGCAUGGAAGAAGGUGUUUGAGGAGCAAGUAAUUCUUGACAAGAGCUUGUUUACCAGAUAAACUGAUUGAGUCCACAAAGAGUAAUUGUAAAAUGCUUCAUUUAAACUGUGAGCAUUGCACAUAUAGUAGAGCAUUUUUUUAUGUAUUAAAAGGUUUUAGCUAGAGAGUGGUUAUUGAUAAAGACGUGUAGCAAUUCUUUGUUAAAUAAUCCUUCCAAGUUGCAGUUACAGCUGUAAUACUUUUUUUUUCUCCUCACGAGAAACCAUAUCAGAUGCUAUACAUGCAUUUGCAGUAACUGAAGCUGUGUAUCAAACUGACAGUCAUUUUUCAGAAAUUACCAGCAAAGAAUUUUCUCUCUAUGCCUGUUUUCAUCCAUAUCCAAAUAAUGUCUCGUUCGUGCAGUUCUACUUAGUUUCUGAUCAAUCAUAAAUAAAUAUCCUUUAGUUAAAUUAUAAUCUUUAAAAACAAAGUUACUGUUGCUUACUGUUGCAUGGAAUAUGAUAAUAGACUAGAAUAUUUCAGUUGGAAGGGACCUACAUUAAUUAUCUACAUAAUGAUUGAAAACUAGGAAAUUAAACUUUUUGGUUGCAAAGUGUUGCAAGACCUUAACACAUCUUUUCAGUACUACAAGAAAUGAGCCAGUCUGUUAUGUUGUUUAUAUUUUUUUGUCGGAAGACUCCAAGUAUAUGUUAUCUGUGGAAUAAACUAUAAACUGGCAUUCUACUAGCUGUAAAUCUCUUAGUAAUUACUGACUGAGCAUGAAAAAAUCCUACAGAAUAUAUAGUCUUAGAGUGGGCUUUUAAAUGAUUCAUGGACUACGGAAAAUGAAUACUUCAAUGGGCUGUUCUGUGGAAGUGUUCUUUUAUCCUGCUGUUUCAGGAGAGCAAAUUCAAAUGUUCGACGAAAACUAAGUAGCAUUUCCAAACCGUUUUAGAACGCGUAUGCCAGCUCAUACGUGUGAUAACAAUUUAACUGACUUGCAGUGUUGAACAUUAUACAAUAUACUGAAUCCCAGGUUUGCAGUUUUAAUACCUCUAAGUCUUUCUUAAGUCUCCCUACUUCUCUUGGUAGGACUGGCAGAAGCCACAUCCUUGCUUGCACUGAGGAUGUUCAAAACCUGGAGCGACUUUUAGAUAUUUACUCUUUAAUGAUUCAGUUACAAGUUUACGGUGUGUGUGUCUUGGUUUUUUUUUAAUGUUUAGUAGCAAAUGCAUUCCUUUGUCAGAAUGCAUGUCUUGUUUAUUGAAGUUAUAGAAAUUCAUUACAUAACAUCUAAUUACCAAGCAAAAUGUGUAACGUGAACUUCACAAAUGUGCUUGUGCCGUAACUUCUAAAAUACCAUCGUAAUGGGGGCUAAAAAGAACAGUGUGUAUUUUGUUAUUACUGCUUUAUUUGGUGUUUUAAAACAUUGCUAUUGACAACCUUGUAAUAAAAUAAAACUGGGCACUUGUGUUCAGUCAGAUAAGGCUUUAUCUACCCAAGAGACUCUUGUCCUGUGAACAUUCACAAUGUAGAUCUAAUCAAUUAUUAAAGGAGGAUGCCACAUUA
RNA transcript from Columba livia (rock pigeon), 17405 nucleotides. RefSeq lists it as uncharacterized. Lineage: Eukaryota; Metazoa; Chordata; Aves; Columbiformes; Columbidae. The record is from RefSeq and is a predicted model, not a curated record. The transcript has 5 exons.